RNAcentral lists this ribosomal RNA (407 nucleotides) under uncultured bacterium. Its description in RNAcentral is "partial 16S ribosomal RNA". It matches the Rfam family "Bacterial small subunit ribosomal RNA", at positions 28 to 526 of the family's 1533-position model. The record is from RNAcentral.
GACGAACGCUGGCGGCAGGCCUAACACAUGCAAGUCGAGCGGAGCGGCGGACGGGUGCGUAAUGCCUAGGAAUCUGCCUGGUAGUGGGGGAUAACGUCCGGAAACGGGCGCUAAUACCGCAUACUCUCAGAUGAGCCUAGGUCGGAUUAGCUAGUUGGUGGGGUAAAGGCCUACAAAGGCGACGAUCCUUAACUGGUCUGAGAGGAUGAUCAGUCACACUGGGACUGAGACACGGUCCAGACUCCUACGGGAGGCAGCAGUGGGGAAUAUUGGGCAAUGGGCGAAAGCCUGAUACAGCCAUGCCGCGUGUAUGAAGAAGGUCUUCGGAUUGUAAAGUUCUUUAGGUUGGGAGGCGUUACCUACAGAAUAAGCACCGGCUAACUUCGUGCCAGCAGCCGCGGUAAUAC